Molecule: long non-coding RNA, 462 nt
Organism: Zootermopsis nevadensis
Lineage: Eukaryota; Metazoa; Arthropoda; Insecta; Blattodea; Termopsidae
Source: RefSeq, a predicted model, not a curated record
GUAGGAACCUGAAGACGGAGUCCCAUCUCCGAAACGUCGUUUUACGUUUUACAUUUUAUAUUUUACUAGACGAUGGAUAAUAUCCAAGGAAAUUUUUAUUCAUAUAAAAUAGUUUCUCAUACUGAACGAAGCUCCGGUAAGUGCAAGAAGCUACAAUUGGUGUCACAACUUGGUCGAAUUUUGACACGCUGGAACCCCCUCCCGUUUCUCUAACUUGACGGAUAUGUAUUGGUCAUGGGAAUCACUUGGAUCUGUCGACCAGAACUAACUGGUGCACAUCAUUGUAGUAUUAAUAAUGGCGGCAGCAGCAACAAAACAACAACAACAAUAGUAAUAACAAUUCAGAUCUUUAUUUUAACGUGUCAACUUGGCAGCUAUAGGAGCCAGUUACAGAGUCAGCACAAGUGAAUAAAAUUAAUGCAAAAACAAGAACAAAGACAUAAAUAAACAUGAAGAAAUAUA